CAGGCGCAGCAGUUACCUGCCAGACUGGGGGACGUGGCAGAAAAGGUCCUUGCCUUGAGGAAGUUCGAGUCUAGCAGAGGAGAAAAUCAAGAAACAACGCCAAAUGCAUUAUGUCCGAGUGGAAGGUCCUCUGGGAAGCACCCAGGGCACAGGAACACAGUGUCUACUUCUCACCAAAGGAGCCCUCUCCUAUAUCCAGGUUGCAGCUCUCUUACAGCUCACGCAGAGUCCCCCAGAGGAUGAAUUCUCUCUAGUCUUCAUUUGGAAAAAAGAAAUCUCAUCACAGGUCAGCCAGCAGAGAUUUCUAAGCAGUCACUGUAAAUCCCACAUCGUGGCUAACCUAGAAGAAAAAAGUAUUGGACACCAAGGACCUCAAUUUGAAAUCAGAGAAAAGCAAGACUAACAAAUGCCAGCAGGCAAGCACUUGCUGAAGUGUAUUUGCCGGAGCUAUCAAAAAGCCUGAUGGAAAAAGUGGGCGUCCACACCAGUUUUCUAGGAACUCAUUCUGUUUAUACCUGCUACAUUGGUGUAACUAUUAUUAUUAUUAAUCCCCUGACCUUCACAACUGUACUGGUUUGGGUGAGAAAUUAUGAAGUCACCUUAAUGAUGGCUCAUCUAUAGAAAUGAACUCAACAAAAACUAUAACCAUAGCAACUAAGAAUCAUGUUGAUGGGUGCUUUGUUAGCAUAGAUGGCAUCACAUACACCCCCAGUGUAUUUUAGCCUGAAUGAGGCAAUUCCUUCUGUUGCUGGUGAGAUUUGUAUAGGCUCUGCUUGUCUUGUUGGUUAAUCUGAUGCAAAGACUCAUCUCUGUGCUCAAAUUCUGAUCUCUGGCAUAGGCUUAGACUAUUGCUGAGACACGUCAGGUCUUUUGUCUAUGGGAAACAGGUCAAGAUCAGCCCUAAGGAAUGGGCAAAAAGUGAACUGUGUAGUCCACAUGAAGGAAGCGGGCUGGAGGUCUCACCUGCUCAGCUUGACAGCCUGGUCUGAGCAACCCACUCCAUGCUGGAUGCUCAGCAUUCAGUCAGUGAGGCAGAAGGACUUAUAUGAGGAAUAACGUUAUAGUGAAGCACUAAGAAUAGCGUGGGCUGUGAGCAAUUUGGAAGUGUACACUAUACAUCAGUGGGAGGCAGGGGAUGUGGCUGUGGAUGUUGGCAGAGGCUAAAUGAUGAAGGACCUACAUCAGUAAGCAUCAUGGUUUUCCUCUGGAGUCGAAAUGACAUCUCAAAUGUCAUCCCAUCCUGGGGCCCCUCCUUGUACUGACAGUAACAUUUGCAGCAAGAUGACCUGGUUUUUCUCUCAGAACCUUGUUGNNNNNNNNNNCGCGCGCUCAGGCAGGCCAUGCCGCCUCACCAGGCACGCAGCUUCAGCUAAUCAGGGCAGCAGGGGCAUAUCUCCACCAAA
This 1403-nucleotide long non-coding RNA is filed under the name Mus spicilegus (steppe mouse). RNAcentral describes it as "lncRNA (ENSMSIG00000012882.1)". The record is from RNAcentral. Lineage: Eukaryota; Metazoa; Chordata; Mammalia; Rodentia; Muridae.